Molecule: transfer RNA, 93 nt
Filed under: Serratia fonticola
Lineage: Bacteria; Pseudomonadati; Pseudomonadota; Gammaproteobacteria; Enterobacterales; Yersiniaceae
Description: tRNA-Glu(ttc)
Source: RNAcentral
UAGAAUGAUAUUAGGGUUUUGAUAACCGUUUUUUCUUAACGCACCGACAUGGGGUGUCGGGGGUCGGAGGUUCGAAUCCUCUCAUGCCGACCA